RNAcentral lists this long non-coding RNA (278 nucleotides) under Vigna radiata. RNAcentral describes it as "long non-coding RNA (VRAD_LNC016588)". Lineage: Eukaryota; Viridiplantae; Streptophyta; Magnoliopsida; Fabales; Fabaceae. The record is from RNAcentral.
GAAAUUGGUCUUUGGGAGACGACCUAGGGAUCAUUCCCUAGCUAUACUGCAUUUAUAAUUUGCAAUCAAAUUUGUGUGAGUUGUGACAGACCAUCAAAGGGGUUCGAUUAUAUGUUUUCCGAAGGCUUUAUCGAAGGCCUUUGCCCCUCGGUAAGUUGUUCGAUUAUCUGAAAUAACAACUCACUCCCCCAUUUCGCAAAAACAAUUCUUCCCCAAAACAGCAAAAGGUAUCCACCAUCUCUGCAACUGCCCUCUACCCCAUUCGUGUUGUUUCCAAA